CGCCGCCUGCAGGGCCGGGAUGGAGACAGCCUGUGGGGACGGAGCUGAGGGCGCUGCUGCGGGCAGCGGGGCUGCCCGUGGGGUUGUUCUUUUGUUUGCACAAAACCUGCGCACGCUGAAGGUGGAGCGUCGCUCCGCGCUCCUGCAGCGGCGCCGGCGCCCGCGGCGGGCCCAGGUUCGCACGGUGGUGCCACAUCGGGGCUGAGGUGAAGGAAGCCUCGUCAUCGCCGGGGACGUCCUGCCCGGAUCAGCAGGUUGGAGCACCACUGGGAUGGAUCUACUGAUUUCUUGGAUGCCCUCAAGAAGUAAUACCUGCUAUGAGGCCUUCCUUACCAGGUGGUCCCUGCCACAUGGUAGAUGCUGAAGCAUGAAAAAUAAAGGCUCUCAGAGGAUGUAGUGGAGCCUGUAGAAGAAACACAUUCUUUCUCUAUACUGAAAAUUAAAAAUAGCACAGCUUUGACUUCCUAAUAACUUCCAGUGUGCAUGGCUGAGGAAGAGGUAAGAACAUGAGUUCUCUAGUGCAUUAUGACAGUGAUAUAGCACCUCAAAGGAUAAAGCAGACAUACUUAAUGGAAUGUAAAUAAAAUGCAGUCAGUCUAUGAAAUGUUGUAAACAGGAGAAACCAAACUUCAGUAUAUUUAUUUAAAGCUGCAUCUCAGUGAUUAUAUGAAUGGGCACUGACAUGUGUUUGACAGGGUAUUGAGGGACUUUACUCAGCAGACAUGAUACUCCUUGCAUUCCCAGAUCCCUAGUCCUUUAUACCUAAAGAACACAAGUUAAAAACCCCAACUAAACGUUGUAAAGUACAUCUUUGGCUGUUGGGCUGUUGAUUUCUGUUGGGUUUUUGUUCCCUGUUCUCUAUGAUCAAAGUCACUGUUCUGCCUCUUGUGCUAUAUGUCCAUCCUUCUUUUUUAUCCUAGCUGGUAAGUUGCAAUAAUUCUAGCCAAGUCUUUGUGGAGUUUUCAGCUCUUCUUGCACGAGUUUUAAUCAGGAGUGUUGCCAGACACUGUGAUUCCAUAAAGCUAAGAACUGAAAUGUAAAAAUCAGCAUUGGUAGGUAUUCUUAAAAAGGAGAGCUGAAGGCCUUCAGUCUUUAAAACAAAUGUAAUUAAUUCUGCUAAACCUAAGGAUGUGCAUAUCUGCUCUCUCCUUGUGUGUUAGAGUUUGUAUCUGUCUGACAAUGUGUAUGUACAAAUAUGGAAGAAAAUUAAAUGUGCUCAAUGCUUGGC
Taeniopygia guttata (zebra finch) is the source of this 1228-nucleotide non-coding RNA. NCBI's taxonomy places the organism in Eukaryota, Metazoa, Chordata, Aves, Passeriformes, Estrildidae. The record is from RefSeq and is a predicted model, not a curated record.